GAUGAAGAACGUAGCGAAAUGCGAUACGUAAUGUGAAUUGCAGAAUUCAGUGAAUCAUCGAGUCUUUGAACGCACAUUGCGCCCCCUGGUAUUCCGGGGGGCAUGCCUGUCCGAGCGUCAUUGCUGCCCUCAAGCACGGCUUGUGUGUUGGGCCUCCGUCCUCGUCCCGGGGGACGGGCCCGAAAGGCAGCGGCGGCACCGCGUCCGGUCCUCGAGCGUAUGGGGCUUCGUCACCCGCUCUUGUAGGCCCGGCCGGCGCUUGCCGACACAUCAAUCUUUUUUCCAGGUUGACCUCGGAUCAGGUAGGGAUACCCGCUGAACUUAAGCAUAUCAAUAAGCGGAGGA
Molecule: unclassified non-coding RNA, 345 nt
Filed under: soil metagenome
Description: partial contains 5.8S ribosomal RNA, internal transcribed spacer 2, and large subunit ribosomal RNA
Rfam family: 5.8S ribosomal RNA (bases 1-120)
Source: RNAcentral